RNAcentral lists this ribosomal RNA (922 nucleotides) under marine metagenome. RNAcentral describes it as "bacterial SSU rRNA". It matches the Rfam family "Bacterial small subunit ribosomal RNA", at positions 282 to 1222 of the family's 1533-position model. The record is from RNAcentral.
AAUAGCUGAUUUGAGAGGAUGAUCAGCCACAUUGGGACUGAGACACGGCCCAAACUCCUACGGGAGGCAGCAGUGGGGAAUCUUGCACAAUGGAGGAAACUCUGAUGCAGCGAUGCCGCGUGAGUGAAGAAGGCCCUUGGGUUGUAAAGCUCUUUCGUCGGGGAAGAAAAUGACUGUACCCGAAUAAGAAGGUCCGGCUAACUUCGUGCCAGCAGCCGCGGUAAUACGAAGGGACCUAGCGUAGUUCGGAAUUACUGGGCUUAAAGAGUUCGUAGGUGGUUGAAAAAGUUAGUGGUGAAAUCCCAGAGCUUAACUCUGGAACUGCCAUUAAAACUUUUCAGCUAGAGUAUGAUAGAGGAAAGCAGAAUUUCUAGUGUAGAGGUGAAAUUCGUAGAUAUUAGAAAGAAUACCAAUUGCGAAGGCAGCUUUCUGGAUCAUUACUGACACUGAGGAACGAAAGCAUGGGUAGCGAAGAGGAUUAGAUACCCUCGUAGUCCAUGCCGUAAACGAUGUGUGUUAGACGUUGGAAAUUUAUUUUCAGUGUCGCAGCGAAAGCGAUAAACACACCGCCUGGGGAGUACGACCGCAAGGUUAAAACUCAAAUGAAUUGACGGGGACCCGCACAAGUAGUGGAGCAUGUGGUUUAAUUCGAAGAUACGCGCAGAACCUUACCAACACUUGACAUGUUCGUCGCGACUCUAAGAGAUUAGAGUUUUCGGUUCGGCCGGACGAAACACAGGUGCUGCAUGGCUGUCGUCAGCUCGUGUCGUGAGAUGUUGGGUUAAGUCCCGCAACGAGCGCAACCCUCACUUUUAGUUGCCAUCAUUAAGUUGGGCACUCUGAAAGAACUGCCAGUGAUAAGCUGGAGGAAGGUGGGGAUGACGUCAAGUCCUCAUGGCCCUUACGUGUUGGGCUACACACG